AUUGAACGCUGGCGGCAUGCCUUACACAUGCAAGUCGAACGGCAGCGCGGACUUCGGUCUGGCGGCGAGUGGCGAACGGGUGAGUAACAUAUCGGAACGUGCCCUGGAGUGGGGGAUAACUAGUCGAAAGACUAGCUAAUACCGCAUACGCCCUGAGGGGGAAAGUGGGGGAUCGCAAGACCUCAUGCUCGUGGAGCGGCCGAUAUCUGAUUAGCUAGUUGGUGGGGUAAAGGCCUACCAAGGCGACGAUCAGUAGCUGGUCUGAGAGGACGAGCAGCCACCCUGUGCAUGAGACACGGCCCAGACUCCUCCGGGAGGCAGCAGGGGGGAAUUUUGGACAAUGGGGGCAACCCUGAUCCAGCAAUGCCGCGUGAGUGAAGAAGGCCUUCGGGUUGUAAAGCUCUUUUGUCCGGGAAGAAAUCCCAUCCCUGAAUACGGGAUGGGGAUGACGGUACUGGAAGAAUAAGCACCGGCUAACUACGUGCCAGCAGCCGCCGUAA
RNAcentral lists this ribosomal RNA (500 nucleotides) under uncultured bacterium. RNAcentral's name for it is "partial 16S ribosomal RNA". It matches the Rfam family "Bacterial small subunit ribosomal RNA", at positions 29 to 523 of the family's 1533-position model. The record is from RNAcentral.